GAGAGGAGGAAGCGGCGCUCAUGGGGUUGCAAGGAUGUAGAGGAGCAAAGGGAGAGAAGAGGCCGCGGGAAGAGAGGUGGUGCGAGACCCGCGGAGGCGCCGGCCAAGGACGGGCGCAUGGAGCAGCGGGCGGCGCGACCGGCCGGGUGCUGGCCAUUCAGGCCCGAAAGCGGAGGCCGAAAAGAGAGAAACAUCCGAAAAAAAAUCAAGCAGAAGAUUGAGCUGCUGAUGUCAGUUAACUCUGAGAAGUCGUCCUCUUCAGAAAGGCCGGAGCCUCAACAGAAAGCUCCUUUAGUUCCUCCUCCUCCACCGCCACCACCACCACCACC
This 329-nucleotide long non-coding RNA is filed under the name Homo sapiens (human). RNAcentral describes it as "non-protein coding lnc-SRPK2-5:2". Lineage: Eukaryota; Metazoa; Chordata; Mammalia; Primates; Hominidae. The record is from RNAcentral.